RNAcentral lists this ribosomal RNA (207 nucleotides) under uncultured bacterium. RNAcentral's name for it is "partial 16S ribosomal RNA". It matches the Rfam family "Bacterial small subunit ribosomal RNA", at positions 568 to 774 of the family's 1533-position model. The record is from RNAcentral.
CGUGUAGGCGGCUUGGUAGGUCCGCUGUGAAAACUCGAGGCUUAACCUCGAGAUGUCGGCGGAAACCACCUGGCUAGAGUCCGGAAGAGGAGAGUGGAAUUCCCGGUGUAGCGGUGAAAUGCGCAGAUAUCGGGAAGAACACCUAUGGCGAAGGCAGCUCUCUGGGACGGUACUGACGCUGAGACGCGAAAGCGUGGGGAGCGAACA